Molecule: ribosomal RNA, 129 nt
Filed under: Staphylococcus aureus
Lineage: Bacteria; Bacillati; Bacillota; Bacilli; Caryophanales; Staphylococcaceae
Description: partial 23S ribosomal RNA
Rfam family: Bacterial large subunit ribosomal RNA
Source: RNAcentral
CCCCCUCAAGAUGAGAUUUCCCAACUUCGGUUAUAAGAUCCCUCAAAGAUGAUGAGGUUAAUAGGUUCGAGGUGGAAGCAUGGUGACAUGUGGAGCUGACGAAUACUAAUCGAUCGAAGACUUAAUCAA